CAGGAGAAAAAAGUCAAUUUUUUCUUGUCCCCUAAGGUGAAAAUACACAUUGUUGACUGUCACGCCUGUACGCUUUGGCAAAAUGACACAAAAAUUGACAAUCAUGUGUAUCUCAAUUAGAUCUACGAAAAAGUCAAAGAGCGCGUAUCUGUAUAAUGUACGGUAAAAGGGCUAUUUUGCAUUUUUUGCCGAUUCGCACACAUUGGAAUUUCGCUAACUCCUCCUAAGGCUUUCGUUCCACCGGCACCACAUUUGCUCAGGCCAAAUUACACCCCAUGGCCAUUAAAAGUUAUUCAAAUCAUGACGCUGCACCCCACGGUUUACGUUUUAGGGGGCGCCAAAGAUGACCCAAAUAUACAUUACAGUAGACAAAGUAGUUUUGCCCACUGAGUGGCGCCAAAGGGACUUGUCUGUGGAGUCUGUGAGUCACUAUUGGCCGUUUUUGACUACUUUAGAUUUUACCUUUAUAUUUCCUCUUACAAAAUUUUUACCUUGCCUUGCCUGGUAUCAUUUUUUUCAGCACAACCUCACCUGUGUCAAUUUACAGUUAUUUUAUCAUUUUGACAUACUAUAUUUACACAUUGGACCCAAAUUCACACACAAAACAUAAAAUCCGAGUGGAAAAAAGUAACGUUUUUACUGUGAAAACCACAAAUAUGUGUGAUGAACUGUUUUUAAAACUUAAACUUCAAAUAAAAAUUGUAAACUUCAAAACAUAUGCAAAUUUUUAACAAAGAACAUAGUAAUUUACCUCUAUUGACAUCAAAAUGCAGGCAAUGGCCCAGGUGUUCUUUGUAAAAUUAUUUACAAAACACUGUAUAGUCUCACAAAUGUCACUUUUUAUUUAUGCCACUACAAAAAAACAUGAUGUAAAUGAUGCAUGAUGUAAAACAUGAUGUAAAAAACUUGUGUAGAUCCUCCUCUAUGUUAGUCCAUGUGUAAUUUUUCCAUAAUUCUUUGUUUUUUGCAGCAUUUUUGUUAGUGUAACUGCAGAUUGUGCUGACAGUGUCUAUGGCAAAAAAAAAAAAAAAAACUGAAAAUGCCUCAACAUGAACCCCUGGUGGUCUCUGAGGGUGAAACCUGCUAACUGCUGCAGCUCUGUCAGCUUCAGUCUCCCAUGCAGAGCUCGGAGCGCAUGUGUGGCUCUGCACCCUUAGCAGCGUUGCUAACUCCUCAGUAAGGAAAGCCUGCUUCAUGUCAGAGUCUCUAAACUCCAGAAGUCGAUAAAAGUCACUUUCUUUCUAAAAAAAAAGUCGUUAGGGGGUCUGAAAAGUCAUUGAAUCUAACAACAAAGUCGCUAGGUUUGCAACUACGUGUCCCAGACUGCAUCCCUGCUGAGAGUCCCUCCCUCCCUUCUCAUAUUGCAGGAAGAACGUAAGCGCCCGCCCCUUGUCAAUCAGUCACCAUAUAAUUUUGGAUUGGUUGUUGUGGUGAAGUUUUCCACCAAUAGGAGAGAUGUUGUGGUGUGUUUUUUUCUUUUCCUUUGGCAAGCCUUUUCCGCCUGUAAGACCUGUCGCUAAUGUCUGCAUGCUAUGUUUUCCUGUCUCAUACAGCGCGAUCGAGCGCCGAACGUGAUCAAAAUAAGCAGAAAACAAGUAUCGCGGACAUAAUUUAUCAUAACUCUGGUUUUAUUUGGCCUAUCAACACAAUUUAAAAACUGGUAUAUAGGUUGAGGUCCUCACUUUUGAGAUUAGUUGAAACGGAGAGUCAACGAGGCUCCGUCUUGCAGCUACAUCCGGUUAAAUAUGUCAUGUGACUUGAACGCACACACACACACACACACACACACACACACAGACACACACACACACGCACACACACACCGUCUUGCAGCUACAUCCGGUUAAAUAUGUCAUGUGACUUGAACGCACACACACACACACACACACACACACACACACACAGACACACACACACACGCACACUCAGAGUCUGGUUUUUAGCACCUGCAAAAACAUGCUAUUUACAUAUUUGACAAGAAUGCAGAGGCUUCCUUUUGCCCCUGAAAAAAAAUCAAAUUUCAAACACAACUUGACUGCUCAUUUCUCCAAAAGACAACCAUGAAGCUCCAUCCAAACCUGAAGCAGGCAGUUGGUGCAUGUGUACAGUAACCUGAGGGGAGUGAGGUGACUGCUUCUGAGGAGAACAUGAGCAGUGAAGAUUCACCUUGGAGCUAGAACAGGGACGUGUACAUGAUUAUACAGGGGCAGGGGCUCAAGUUUUUUCCAGUCGUUUAUACAAUAUGGAAAUUAAUGUGAAAUUAAAAAACAAAGUAUUAAUAGAAAGGUAAUGACUGUCCUGUGUAGGUGACAGUGAUAUCCAAUAGGCUAGGCACUCACGAGGCUGGCUGUGGCAAGUGUAAGUGAAAGCAACACGCACUGGCAGGAAGAACAGCAAACGCCGAUGAAGGAAAAGGGUCUUUGUAGUGAUGGGCGUUACCAGAGAGGGCGAUGGCCAGAGGACGCGAAUGGGACGGGGAGGCAGCGCGUUGGGGGGGGGGCGCGACACGGCUCGGGCCCGCCAGUGCCCACACGGGGCCCUAGUUAGGGCCCGAGCCAGCUGCAGAGCAGCCGGGCGUAGAGCCCUAUUAUUCCUGAUGAGUUUUUCUUUCUUCUUUCUUUCUUUCUUUCUUCUUAUUUUUCCUCCCCUUUGAAGGGGAAAAUGGCCCACUUCCCACUGGCGAAAACUCAGGAAAUUUGGCAGGAUGACCGGGCCUGGUGAAAAAUUCGAUAUUCUGAAGUCGCCCAAACAAUAAAAUGCAAAAUGGCUCCAUAGCGCCCCCUAAGGUGAAAAUUCACACUAUUGACUGUCACACCUGUACGCUUUGUCAUAUUGACACAAAAAUUGACACACACGUGUAUCUCAAUACGGUCUACGAAAAAGUCAGUGCGGGCGCAUCUGUGAAAUGUACGGUUAGAGGGUUAUUUCGCAUUUUUUGCCGAUCCGCACACAUUGGAAUUUCGCUAACUCCUCCGAAGGCAUUCCUUCCACCGGCACCACAUUUGCUCAGGCCAAUCUACACCCCAUGGCCAUUAAAAGUUGUACAAAUCAUGACGCUGCACCCCACGGUUUACGUUCUAGGGGGCGCCAAAGAUAACCCAAAAAUCCACAGUCUUAAAAGGCUUAUAACUUUUUAUUUUUGUCCUCACUGGCCUCCAAGUUCUCUAGGAUGAUGCAAUGUCCAGCCAUCAACACAUUUGUGAAGGAAUUUUUACUCGCCAAAAGAGCGCCCCCCCAUGGCAGGAGAAAAAAGUCCAUUUUUUCUUGUCUCCUAAGGCGAAAAUUCACACUAUUGACUGUCACGCCUUUACGCUUUGUCAUAUUGACACAAAAAUUGACACACACAUGUAUCUCAAUAAGAUCUACAAAAAAGUCAGUGCGGGCGUAUCUGUCAAAUGUACGGUUAAAGGGCUAUUUCGCAUUUUUUGCCGAUCCGCACACAUUGGAAUUUCGCUAACUCCUCCGAAGGCUUUCGUUCCAAAGGCACCACAUUUGCUCAGGCCAAUCUACACCCCAUGGCCAUUAAAAGUUGUACAAAUCAUGACGCUGCACCCCACGGUUUACGUUCUAGGGGGCGCCAAAGAUAACCCAAAAAUCCACAGUCUUAAAAGUCUUAUAACUUUUUAUUUUUGUCCUCACUGGCCUCCAAGUUCUCUAGGAUGAUGCAAUGUCCAGCCAUCAACACAUUUGUGAAGGAAUUUUUACUCGCCAAAACAGCGCCCCCCCAUGGCAGGAGAAAAAAGUCCAUUUUUUCUUGUCUCCUAAGGCGAAAAUACACAUUGUUGACUGUCACGCCUUUACGCUUUGUCAAAAUGACACAAAAUUUGACACACACAUGUAUCUCAAUAAGAUCUACGAAAAGUCAAUGCGAGCGUAUCUGUUCAAUGUACGGUUAAAGGGCUAUUUCGCAUUUUUUGCCGAUUCGCACACAUUGGAAUGUGGCUAACUCCUCCUAAAUCUUUUGUCCCAUCGGCUUCGAAUUUGCUCAGGUCAAUCUAGACCCCAUGGCCAUUCAAAGUUGUACAAAUCAUGACGCUGCACCCCACAGUUUACGUUCUAGGGGGCGCCAAAGAGGACCCAAAUAUCCACAUUUUUAAAAGUCUUAUAACUUUUUAUUUUUGUCCUCACUGGCCUCCAAGUUUUCUAGGAUGAUGCAAUGUCCAGCCAUCAACACAUUUGUGAAGGAAUUUUUUCUCCCCAAAAGAGCGCCCCCCCAUGGCAGGAGAAAAAGUCAAGUUUUUCCUGCCCAUCGCUCAAUGGCUCAAACGCAUCGCUCUCUCGGCAAAACCGAAAGGAGGAGCAACUUGCCAUUUGGAUAUAUACUAGCUGUGUUUGUGCCCUCACUCAUGGUCCAGACUUUUUUCAAAAAGGACAUGGAGUUUGUCUGCAGCGAGCGUUUUGGUAGAAACUGCGCCUCCCAUUCAUUAUAAUGGUAAAUGACCACAGACAAGUGCGCACACCAUCUUUGGACCUUGAGUGUGACGCGAUCGGGAGGGGUAGGCGGUCGCGCUGGGGGCGGCGCGACACUGCUCGGGCCCGCCAGUGCCCCAACGGGGCCCUAGUUCUUUCUUUCUUUCUUCUUUUUCCUCCCCUUUGAACUGGAAAAUGGCCCACUUCCCACUGGCGAAAACUCAUGAAAUUUGGAAGGACGACCGGGCCUGGUGAAAAAUUUGAUAUUCUGAAGUCGCCAAAACAAUAAAAUGCAAAAUGGCUCCAUAGCGCCCCCUAAGGUGGAAAUUCACACUAUUGACUGUCACGCCUGUACGCUUUGUCAUAUUGACACAAAAAUUGACACACAUAUGUAUCUCAAUAAGAUCUACAAAAAAGUCAGUGCGGCCGUAUCUGUCAAAUGUACGGUCAAAGGGUUAUUUCGCAUUUUUUGCCGAUCCGCACACAUUGGAAUUUCGCUAACUCCUCCGAAGGCUUUCGUUCCACCGGCACCACAUUUGCUCAGGCCAAUCUACACCCCGUGGCCAUUAAAAGUUAUCAAAAUCAUGACGCUGCACCCCAAGGUUUAGGUUCUAGGGGGCGCCAAAGAUAACACUAAAAUCCACAUAUUUAAAAGUCUUAUAACUUUUUAUUUUUGUCCUCACUGGCCUCCAAGUUUUCUAGGAUGAUGCAAUGUCCAGCCAUCAACACAUUUGUGAAGGAAUUUUUACUCCCCAAAAGAGCGCCCCCCCAUGGCAGGAGAAAAAAGUCCAUUUUUUCUUGUCCCCUAAGGUGAAAAUACACAUUGUUGAGUGUCACGCCUAUACGCUUUGUCAAAAUGACACAAAAAUUGACACACACAUGUAACUCAAUAAGAUCUACGAAAAAGUCAAUGCGCGCGUAUCUGUCAAAUGUACGGUUAAAGGGUUAUUCCGCAUUUUUUGCCGAUCCGCACACAUUGGAAUGUGGCUAACUCCUCCUAAGGCUUUCGUUCCACCGGCACCACAUUUGCUCAGGACAAUCUACACCCCAUGGCCAUUAAAAGUUAUUCAAAUCAUGACGCUGCACCCCACGGUUUAGGUUCUAGGGGGCGCCAAAGAUAACCCUAAAAUCCACAUAUUUAAAAGUCUUAUAACUUUUUAUUUUUGUCCUCACUGGCCUCCAAGUUUUCUAGGAUGAUGCAAUGUCCAGCCAUCAACACAUUUGUGAAGGAAUUUUUACUCCCCAAAAGAGCGCCCCCCCAUGGCAGGAGAAAAAAGUCCAUUUUUUCUUGUCCCCUAAGGUGAAAAUACAUAUUGUUGAGAUUCACGCCUAUACGCUUUGUCAUAUUGACACAAAAUUUGACAAUCACGUGCCUUGCCUGGUAUCAUUUUUCAGCACAACCUAACCUGUGCGAAUUUACAGUUAUUUUAUCAUGUUGACAUACUGAAUUUACACAAUGGACCCAAAUUCACACACAAAACAUAAAAUCCGAGUGGAAAAAAGUAACAUUUUUACUGUGAAAACCACAAAUAUGUGUGAUGAACUGUUUUUAAAACUUAAACUUCAAAUAAAAAUUGUAAACUUCAAAACAUAUGCAAAUUUUUAACAAAGAAC
RNAcentral lists this long non-coding RNA (6024 nucleotides) under Xyrichtys novacula (pearly razorfish). The record is from RNAcentral. Lineage: Eukaryota; Metazoa; Chordata; Actinopteri; Labriformes; Labridae.